RNAcentral lists this ribosomal RNA (468 nucleotides) under uncultured bacterium. Its description in RNAcentral is "partial 16S ribosomal RNA". It matches the Rfam family "Bacterial small subunit ribosomal RNA", at positions 28 to 507 of the family's 1533-position model. The record is from RNAcentral.
GACGAACGCUGGCGGCGUGCUUAACACAUGCAAGUCGAACGGAAAGGCCCUGCGUGUGUGCGGUGCUCGAGUGGCGAACGGGUGAGUAACACGAGAAUAACCGGCCCUACUCUUUGGGAUAACUUCAGGAAACUGGGGCUAAUACCGGAUAGGAGCUGCUGCUGCAUUGAGGGGGUUGGAACUUCGCGGCGGGUGCGGCUGGACUCGCGGCUUAUCAGCUAGUUGGUGGGGUAGUGGCUGACCAAGGCUGUGACGGGUCGGCGGCAUGGGAGCGGGGCCAGCCACAUUAGUACUGAGGUACGGCGCAGAGGCCAACAGGAGGCAGCAGUCGGAAGUCUUACCCAGUGAGCGGGAGCGUGAUACGGAGACGCCGCGUGCGGAAUGACGGCCUUCGGGUUGAGAACCGCUUUCGCCUGUGACGAAGCGGGAGUGACGGUAAUGGAUGAAGAAGCACCGGCUAACUACGUG